RNAcentral lists this long non-coding RNA (516 nucleotides) under Gallus gallus (chicken). Lineage: Eukaryota; Metazoa; Chordata; Aves; Galliformes; Phasianidae. The record is from RNAcentral.
CCUUUACUGUACCUUUCAAGUGCCUGCCUGCACAGUAAUGUGCCUUUAUGUGAAAUGCACCUGACUGCACUUAGCCAUUGCAACAAAAUACAUUCUUUCUUCACUGCUUCCGUUAAACGUAGAAUCGCAAAAGAGACCUGUGUUGUUUGAUGUCAUAUGCUCAACAGGAGGAUCAGCACUAACUUGCCAUGUUGUUUUCACCUCCUUUGGGCCAUGCCCACUAGUUAUGUCCACCUUCCACAUUUCUGGGUAAUCAUUCUGAUAGAACUUCUUGACAAGGGCUGGUCUGAUCGGCAGCUGAAACACUUGCUUCUCGUUUAGAGGGUUUUCUUUAUAAUAUUUCAGGCAAGUUUGUGUCAAAGGGAAGAGGUUCUCGUGUUUAAACUGAAGUAAGACUGUACAGCUGACCAUUAUUUCCAACAUAUGAUGAAGCUUUUGGACACGAUGAACUUGCUCUUGUAGAUCUACUGAUGUGGAAAUGAAGUAAUCCAAAUAGGUUAACGUUGUAAGUUCCUG